RNAcentral lists this unclassified non-coding RNA (200 nucleotides) under Hevea brasiliensis (rubber tree). The record is from RNAcentral. Lineage: Eukaryota; Viridiplantae; Streptophyta; Magnoliopsida; Malpighiales; Euphorbiaceae.
UUGAAGAGAGAACAAACAUGGAAAAUCCCAAGUUCAUUCUCAACCUGUAAGUGAGUUUCUUGCUCCAACCACCCCGACUUAUGACUAAAAUUAGAACUACAACCGAAGAACUCAUAUAAGCUACAGAAAAGACCUUCUCAACGUGCCUGGUUGGGUAGAGAUUUCCAAAGUAAUCGACAGCCGUGAUAAAAGCAUUCCAG